Brassica rapa (field mustard) is the source of this 2074-nucleotide long non-coding RNA. RefSeq lists it as uncharacterized. Lineage: Eukaryota; Viridiplantae; Streptophyta; Magnoliopsida; Brassicales; Brassicaceae. The record is from RefSeq and is a predicted model, not a curated record.
GGAUUUGGCUGGCAUGUAUAGAGUACGCCAAUUUCAUGGUCAAACAUACGAGGCAUUGGCGCAGUUCACGCCAACUCAUUGAGACAAAGAUGAGUGGCAUCCACUGCAAGGCGCUUGGUGUUUUAUUCAAGCACGCACUCUUUGGAUCAUCUUCUUGACGUUGGAGUUGAACACAAUCUUUCUCAGGUUUAACAUGUGCUUCCCUCCUUGAAAACAAAUGAGUCUCUAUAGGCUGCUUUUGUAUCUCCAAGACCAGUAUAGAUAUUGCCAGUGUGGUGUUGGUUGAGAUAUGGUUUUAGCCAGAAUGCAGUGAGUAACGUAACUCAAAGACUUAGGCACGGGGACUCCAGACAAUGUGGGAUGGAACUUGAGAAAGAAGCACGUGGCUUAAUUCAUCAAACACUGUGACGUUGUGGUCAUCUACUUCUCCUCAGUUCUGACAGACCUCAACAACCGCGAGGAUGGUGAAGGUUCUGUGUUUCUGAUGAAGGUCGAACUCAGUUACGGGAUGCUUGAAAGGGGCCUGAAACCAGUCUUUCUGGCAGUAUUUACAAAGAGGGGUAUCGACAUAUCGAGACGGAGUGGUGAACUGAGGCGGGAGAUUUGAGAGGCUUGGUGGAUGUAAGAUAAAGCUUGGUGGAUGUAAAACAAGAUUCUAAUGAUUUUAAUACACUUACACAUUAUUUUUACAACAAUCAUAUAUCGUUUAUAGUAUGUGCUUUCUAGGAUCAACCACUAGCGUGUUCAAUUGUGUGCCUUUCCUUUCAGUUUAUAAAGUAGUAUGUGUUGGCUAAUUAAUAGAGUUUAUGGCUUAUCUUAAUAAGAAAGAAAAAAACAGUAUGAAUCUAUUAUCAUUAUACUGCAAUAUGUAAUGUUUAGAGAUAUUAGUUAGGUUUUGUUUUUAUUUUUACCUGAUUAGCAAUUAAUACCCUAUAACUACAAAAUACUAAGAACAUUAAAACAUUUCUAAUUUAUUGUAAUUUAGAAUUAUUACCCUAAACAAAAUUAGUAAUGGAACUUUAUUAGAUCAAAUGUUCAUUUAUAUUUUACACUUUCAAGGUUCGUUUCUUGAAAGAAAACCUUUGAUGAACCUGAGGAUUCUAAUAACAUCUUAGAUUAUCACUUAGCUUCUAACUGUUAUUGUUAUGUGGUUAGGAAGAUUACAAUAAUUAGCUAGAUAACAAAACCUUCAUAAAACUAAUAUAUACUGUUUAGAAUAAAAUGCUUUAAAUAUAUUUCUUCAUUUUUCUUACCAAUUUUAAUACACUAACUUUAAAAUUAUGUCCACUUUAAUAUUCAAAAUAUGCUCAUUUUAAUCAAAAGUUUUAAAAAGUCUCAAAAAAAAUUAAAAAAAAAACACUACAAAAUUCAAAACCAAAUCUUAAAAAUUUGUAAUUUUAUGUUAAUUUCUAGGAAAAUAAAUUAAAUUGUGGAUACCUUAAAAUUUUAACUUUAGUUAAUAUCAACUUUAAUUUGUUUUCUGAAACUUAAAACUAAUACAUUUAUUCUCCAAUCAAAUUAAUUUUUUCUAAUUUUCUUAAAUUCAUCCAAAAUUUAGUUGGUUUUAUUGCUAAACUUUAAAAUAGAAAUUGUUUAAGAUUUAGUUAGAAUUUAGAAAAUUUUAUAAAUUUCAUUUGAAACUUAUUAAUAUUUUUUUAUCAAAGUAAACAUAAUUUGAAUAUUAAAAUGAGCACAAUAUUAAAAAUUAAUGGAUAUAUAUGAACAAAUUAUUUAGUUGAAAUAAUUUAUAGAAUUUUCUCUUAAAAUAAUAUUUAUGUAAAUUCUUCACCACAAAAUAAUUGACUAUGUUUUUUUGUCUCUGAGAACAAAAAAUGAACACAAAUUUUUUUUUUGAGAAACAACAUAACACAAAUCUAAAGAUACAAAUACAUGAAGGCCACUAAGAAAAUCAAAUUAUGACUCUUAAUUUAUUACUUUUAAACAUAAUUUUCUUAUGUAUAUUACAUAUGUACUUAUUUAAUUUGAUCAAACCAAAUCCGCGCACAGAAACUACAACAAAGUUCAUAGUUGAUCUGCUUUAAAACAUAUAUACAAGCAAAACAUAACUUUUAAA